This 364-nucleotide transfer-messenger RNA is filed under the name Anaeromyxobacteraceae. RNAcentral's name for it is "R267 sp001768075 Standard tmRNA". It matches the Rfam family "transfer-messenger RNA". From Rfam's summary of the family: Bacterial tmRNA, also known as 10Sa RNA or SsrA, is named for its dual tRNA and mRNA-like properties. Lineage: Bacteria; Pseudomonadati; Myxococcota; Myxococcia; Myxococcales. RNAcentral also lists the same sequence under 1 other name. The record is from RNAcentral.
GGGGGCGAACUGGCUUCGACAGAGGAUGCCCAAGACGAAGUGCGAGCCGAGGUUGGUCUGCAGGCCUCGCAAAAAGCAGACCACAGAUCAAAGGCCAACGAGCCGAUGAUCAACAUGGCCACCGCCGCUGCAUAAGGCGGGCAUGUGCGGAGACUACGUGAGCUCCGCCGUCACCCCGGGAGAUCUCCCUGGUACCGGGUGUGGCGCAAGACUAGGGAUGCAGUCCGGAAGAGAGUGUUCCGUGCUCUCCGGAUCAAGAUGACAGGGACAACGCCGUACCCGGCCCCCGGGUUACAGGGACACGCUCGUAGUACUUUGUCGUAAGUUCUCCUGGACCCGGGUUCGAUUCCCGGCGCCUCCACUC